RNAcentral lists this long non-coding RNA (971 nucleotides) under Parus major (Great Tit). RNAcentral's name for it is "lncRNA (ENSPMJG00000009496.1)". The record is from RNAcentral. Lineage: Eukaryota; Metazoa; Chordata; Aves; Passeriformes; Paridae.
CUCCAGGCAAGAAGAGGAAGUCUCUGCUCACCUCAUACUCUUUGUUCUGGCUCCCACUGCUUUCCUGACCAGACUGCCUGGCUCAGUGCCUGCAGAAAUGAGCAGAGCUGUAUAUUCUCUCUCCCAAAAACAAGAGGAGCACAGCGGCUCAGUUGUUACUCCUUUGUAGGUCUCUGGGGAGAGUGCACUUCCAGGCUUCCUCUUACUCAAAUUACAAGGUUGCCCUUCAUUCCCAAGAGCCAAGAAAAAAGCUCAGCUUACAUGUGGUAAAAAAGAACUUGUAAAAGUUAUUUUUGAAGGGGCAGUAAAAAAGUCAGUAUUUGCAGUGGCUACCCUUGAUGUUGCUACUGUAUUUGAAACAGCUGGAGUGUAGGUCCCCUCAUUGGACCCAGGGCUUCCUCAUGUGCAGUUUAAAUGUGAAGGGAUUCAGGCAAAAGGUUUGCUCUCUUUGAACUUUCCCUGCUAUCUAGAGGCACUAAAAAAGGCAAAGGAGCCAGCUGAGUGACUGCAGCAGUUCAUCUUCCACAGUGCUGCACGGGCACUCUGCAAUGCUGUGCUGUGGCAGAUGGCAGCAGGUGGGGAGAGAACAUGGGAGCAAAAAGGGGCUUGAGUGAAGCUUUCUUAGAAGAAAUCACAGCAUCAUUCCUGGGCUCUGAAAAGGCAGUGGGAUGCCUGCCUUUCUGUAGAGGCACAGAUAUUUGCAGUGGAGGAACCAGGCCUUGUCAAGGGCUGCAAAUCUGGAUACAUGAAAUCAAGAUAACAAUGCUGAUCUGUGCUUCCUGAGAAACUGCUUCUGGGACACCUCUGCUGGUGUCUGUCGAAGUGCAGUUACACCUUCCAGCUACAGAAAGGAUCAUCUGAUUCACCCUGGAAAAUACGACUUUUCAAAAUCAUCUGUGCUAAACUCCUACUCAUUCAGCAUCUCCUAGGUGACAGUAACUGCACGUACUCCACAAUCAUUUAAAAUAAAA